AUGUCUCUGCCCCGAAGGGUGAUAGUUUCUCUUAUGCUACUGAUUUCUUGGGAAAUAUGGAAAGAGAGAAAUGCACGUGUGUUCCGUAACAACGCAGUUCCGGUUGGUGUUCUUGUUGCUCGAAUUAAAGAGGAAGCUUCUCUGUGGUGUCUAGCUGGGGAAAAUAUUUUGUGUAAUAUUAUGCCACAAGAGUGA
This 195-nucleotide ribosomal RNA is filed under the name Triticum aestivum (bread wheat). RNAcentral's name for it is "partial small subunit ribosomal RNA". Lineage: Eukaryota; Viridiplantae; Streptophyta; Magnoliopsida; Poales; Poaceae. The record is from RNAcentral.